Oreochromis niloticus (Nile tilapia) is the source of this 945-nucleotide long non-coding RNA. RefSeq lists it as uncharacterized. NCBI's taxonomy places the organism in Eukaryota, Metazoa, Chordata, Actinopteri, Cichliformes, Cichlidae. The transcript has 3 exons. The record is from RefSeq and is a predicted model, not a curated record.
GUCAACUAAUGGCUGAAGUCAUGAGUUGAGUUUUGAUACUUAAAGUAUUAAGGUUUGACUCUGCUGAGAUUUCCCUUAUAUACUCGGAUAGUAUGAAGUUUGUAUGAAGGUGGAAUUCGGUCAGUGGAUCUAAGCAUCAUCACCAGCUGGCGGCCACGCAGCUGGAGCAGGCAGCCAUGUCUCGCUGCCAGUGGGAAGAACUGCACGACCAAUCUGAGCGCCAGGUGCAGCUGAUCAUGAGUCUGGCAGCUCGGGUCAGUUCCUGACCUACGCUGCCGCCAUUCCCACCCGCGACCCUCGACUGCAUGGGAACUGCGGUCCAGACUGGUCCGGCGCCCAUGGCAGCCCCCAGGGUGAGGCCAGCCAGGACGCAGUCUGCCUCUGCACCCGUCUCCACUCCUCGGGUGGACUGGCUGGUGCCCGGCAGGGGCCUUCGCCCAUUCCUGCUCCCCGGAGGAGGGCCUCUGAGCAACCGCUGGGCCCACCACCAGCUCACUCACCUCACCAGCCGUAGGUGGAGGACGAGGCGCACGAGGGACCUCAUCAGCCGGAGACAGAACUCGAGGGGCACGAGGGUCCUGCCAAGCCUAACUCGGCGUGCUGGCCAGACCAGCCUCACCUCCACUGCCAAACCACCUGGGAGUCACAGCCGCGACUGCUGCACCGCUGCUGGUUGACACACAGGUGGCCCCCAGACACACCUCAUCACCGCCGCCGGUGGAUCCGCGGGCGGCCCCCUGAAUCAACACGUCCCUGCCGCUGGGCCAUGGGCUGUGGAUGCCGAAGGAUGAGGCUGAUUCUCUCUCCUGCUCGUGGGAUCUGCAGUCGCGCCUCGCUGGCUUUAAAAUCUGUACUGGGUCCUGAGAUUGUGUUGUUGUUGGCAUGUAUGUUCAGCUGGCAACUGGAAAGCUUCAGGCGCGUGUGAACAGCAACCCGUGAAUAAAA